AAGUCGUAACAAGGUCUCCGUAGGUGAACCUGCGGAGGGAUCAUUAACACGUUUUAACAACGUAUUCAACCAAACUAUGGAACUAUGACCUAGAAAUAGGUCAAGUCAAUCUCCCCACAGAGCGAAGGCAUAGAGAUAUGCUUAGCUAUGCGGGCUAUGAUUUUUCUUUAACUUCACCCUUUUCCACCUGGAUUGAUUUCGAUCAACUCCAACCUAAAGUGACCUAGCCUUACUUCUUGACCUAGUCAAUUUGUUGAGGUUGAUAUUUUUUAAUAAGAGCACAACUCUUAGCAACGGAUAUCUUGGUUCUC
This 311-nucleotide unclassified non-coding RNA is filed under the name fungal sp. RNAcentral's name for it is "partial internal transcribed spacer region". The stretch from base 1 to 46 matches the Rfam family "Eukaryotic small subunit ribosomal RNA", at positions 1786 to 1831 of the family's 1831-position model. The record is from RNAcentral. Lineage: Eukaryota; Fungi.